GGACCCGCACAAGUAGUGGAGCAUGUGGUUUAAUUCGAUGAUACGCGAGGAACCUUACCAGGGCUUAAAUGCAGAACGACAGAGGUGGAAACACCUCCUUCUUCGGACGGUCUGCAAGGUGCUGCAUGGUUGUCGUCAGCUCGUGCUGUGAAGUGUCGGGUUAAGUCCCAUAACGAGCGCAACCCUAUUUCUAGUUGCCAGCGGUUCGGCCGGGGACUCUAGAGAAACUGCCAGCGUAAGCUGUGAGGAAGGUGGGGAUGACGUCAAAUCAUCACGGCCCUUACGUCCUGGGCCUACACACGUGCUACAAUGGUAGGGACAGAGAGUUGCCAACCCGCGAGGGUGAGCUAAUCUUCAAACCCUAUCUCAGUUCGGAUCGGAGUCUGCAACUCGACUCCGUGAAGUUGGAAUCGCUAGUAAUCGC
This 424-nucleotide ribosomal RNA is filed under the name uncultured bacterium. RNAcentral describes it as "bacterial SSU rRNA". It matches the Rfam family "Bacterial small subunit ribosomal RNA", at positions 917 to 1345 of the family's 1533-position model. The record is from RNAcentral.